Molecule: long non-coding RNA, 628 nt
Organism: Pseudoliparis swirei
Lineage: Eukaryota; Metazoa; Chordata; Actinopteri; Perciformes; Liparidae
Exons: 3
Source: RefSeq, a predicted model, not a curated record
AUGACUGAACAUAAACUGAAAAAGGUAAGUACAUUUUAAUUAAUCUAUACAUCUAUCGCGUUUGAAUCAAUCGACGCGCGCAAUUCGCAUUCAAGGCGGCAACGCGACGAGACGAGACGUUGGAGGAGACGUUGGAGGAGACGUUGGAGGAGACGUUGGACGAGACGUUGGAGGAGACGUUGGAGGAGACGUUGGACGAGACGUUGGAGGAGACGUUGGACGAGACGUUGGACGAGACGUUGGAGGAGACGUUGGACGAGACGUUGGACGAGACGUUGGACGAGACGUUGGAGGAGACGUUGGAGGAGAGCUUCAUGCCAGAACAAAACCAAAGCAUUGGGAUGAAACGAGAAACUAUUAUCCGCAGCCUUAUCCUGUACCUUGGUGAGAAAGAGGAGGCGUUAUUUGAAGACUGCCUGGUGGACAGCCGCAGUGAUGCAUCUCAACACAUCGUGAGGAUCGUGGUUGUCCGUGGCACCGAUGGAGAAGAUCCCGUUGACGUAUCGAUCCUCCUUGAAGGCAAGGAGAUGUUGGCGGGAUGCGAUUUAUUUACUAAAAGACUGGUUUUAAGCAUCGUACAAGGGUUAUUGGCACGGUGACAAUUUUCUCUUGUGAAGGUUUUGGAGGG